This 506-nucleotide ribosomal RNA is filed under the name Segatella copri. RNAcentral describes it as "partial 23S ribosomal RNA". It matches the Rfam family "Bacterial large subunit ribosomal RNA", at positions 1 to 513 of the family's 2925-position model. The record is from RNAcentral. Lineage: Bacteria; Pseudomonadati; Bacteroidota; Bacteroidia; Bacteroidales; Prevotellaceae.
AAGAAAGUAAGAAAGGGCGUAUGGCGGAUGCCUAGGCUCACGGAGGCGAUGAAGGACGUGAUAAGCUGCGAUAAGCUUCGGGUAGGUGCAAAUAACCCUUGAUCCGAAGAUUUCCGAAUGGGACAACCUAGCCGUCUGAAGGACGGUUACUCUUACCAAGUAAGAGAGCUAACGCAGGGAACUGAAACAUCUUAGUACCUGCAGGAAGAGAAAAUAAAUGAAUGAUUCCCCCAGUAGUGGCGAGCGAACGGGGAACAGCCCAAACCGUUGACGUCGCAAGGCGCCAGCGGGGUUGUAGGACCGCGACAUUGUACUGAAAUGGUGAGUGGAAGUAUCUGGAAAGUUACAUCACAGAAGGUGAUAAUCCUGUACACGAAGCCAGAUCAGGCAUAGCGGUAUCCUGAGUAACGCGGGACACGAGGAAUCCUGCGCGAAUCUGCCGGGACCAUCCGGUAAGGCUAAAUACUCCCGUGAGACCGAUAGCGAACGAGUACUGUGAAGGAAAG